This 468-nucleotide ribosomal RNA is filed under the name uncultured bacterium. RNAcentral describes it as "partial 16S ribosomal RNA". It matches the Rfam family "Bacterial small subunit ribosomal RNA", at positions 28 to 507 of the family's 1533-position model. The record is from RNAcentral.
GACGAACGCUGGCGGCGUGCUUAACACAUGCAAGUCGAACGGAAAGGCCCUGCUUUUGUGGGGUGCUCGAGUGGCGAACGGGUGAGUAACACGUGAGUAACCUGCCCUUGACUUUGGGAUAACUUCAGGAAACUGGGGCUAAUACCGGAUAGGAGCUCCUGCUGCAUGGUGGGGGUUGGAAAGUUUCGGCGGUUGGGGAUGGACUCGCGGCUUAUCAGCUUGUUGGUGGGGUAGUGGCUUACCAAGGCUUUGACGGGUAGCCGGCCUGGGAGGGUGACCGGCCACAUUGGGACUGAGAUACGGCCCAGACUCCUACGGGAGGCAGCAGUGGGGAAUAUGGCACAAUGGGGGGAAGCGAGAUGCAGCAACGCCGCGUGCGGGAUGACGUCCUUCGGGUUGUAAACCGCUUUCGCCUGUGACGAAGCGUGAGUGACGGUAAUGGGUAAGGAAGCACCGGCUAACUACGUG